GAUUCUAGAGGAACUCACCAGGGACUAAGCCCCCCUGCUGUCUCAGGCAGCCAAGAUGAGAAUGACAGCCCUCCCAGCUCCCAGGAACAAAGCAAGCUCCCCUGGCAGCCAGAAGGAAGUUGGUUAGUACAACAUCUGCAUUAGAAAUGGCUCAGUCCUUUACCAGGCAGAGAACUGAACAGCUGUGGCUGGACGGGGCCCCGCAGGCCACUCUGGGCCGAAGCAUUUCAAGAUUUGUCAACGGUUGUCACACUCUCCCAAG
This 262-nucleotide long non-coding RNA is filed under the name Cyanistes caeruleus (blue tit). Its description in RNAcentral is "lncRNA (ENSCCEG00000022031.1)". Lineage: Eukaryota; Metazoa; Chordata; Aves; Passeriformes; Paridae. The record is from RNAcentral.